This 301-nucleotide ribosomal RNA is filed under the name uncultured bacterium. RNAcentral describes it as "partial 16S ribosomal RNA". It matches the Rfam family "Bacterial small subunit ribosomal RNA", at positions 509 to 807 of the family's 1533-position model. The record is from RNAcentral.
CAGUCGCCGCGGGAAUACGGAGGGAGCUAGCGUUGUUCGGAAUUACUGGGCGUAAAGCGCACGUAGGCGGUUAUUCAAGUCAGAGGUGAAAGCCCGGGGCUCAACCCCGGAACUGCCUUUGAAACUAGAUGACUAGAAUCUUGGAGAGGUCAGUGGAAUUCCGAGUGUAGAGGUGAAAUUCGUAGAUAUUCGGAAGAACACCAGUGGCGAAGGCGACUGACUGGACAAGUAUUGACGCUGAGGUGCGAAAGCGUGGGGAGCGAACAGGAUUAGAUACCCCGGUAGUCCCUGUCUCUUAUAC